CAAAAGAAAAGAGACAAAUAAAUUUUGAAAAAGCGCUUUCGUUUUGAUUGGUGUCAAUCAAAAGUUUUAAAUUCCAUUCAAACCGUUCAUUUGCGUCGCCAAAGUGCAUUUAAAAGUGAAAACAUAGUGUGCGAACAAAUUGCAACAACAAGGUAGGCGCUUUUUGUUCCAACCCCGGCUGCUUGUAAAUGCAUUGUGCAUUGUGCAUUCCUACAAAGUUGGCGAUAACAACAGCAAAACAAUUUGACGCGUUCUUUUCACAAGCGAUUCGUUGGGCCAUUUAUAACAGUCAACCCCCAAGUUUGCAUUGGGGCGAGUGCAACAGCAAUAAGUUUCUUUGUUGUGAUAAGGCAAUUAUUGGCAAUUUAAAUUUAUUUAACAAUAAGGUAACAUUGGCCCACAAAUUGCCCACUUUUACAGAAUUCAUAGCAAAAGAGUGAUGCUUAUCAUUAACAUUGGCUCUCGCCUUCUAACCAAUGCAUUUUUGGCGAGUGUAUAAGUGGAAAUAUAUUUGUUUCGGUUUUGAAUCAGUUGACGUUUGCAUGUAGACGCGAACGAGGAGAUAAAGUGUAUAGAAAUCAAAGUUUGCUUGCACAAAAGCAAAAGGAAAAAAAAGUUGAAAAGAAGAGAAAAAGAAUUGAAAUCAAAAUAAAACUUUCGCGCCGCAUAAAUCGGACGCAAUAGAUCAGUGACUGUUUAAGUUCAUACAAAUUGCAGUUGGAGUUGAAGUGUGAGAAAAGUGGAAGAACGCAGAGUCGAUGUAUAUGCGACUACAGCGAACAGCAAUUAGAACCUGGAAGCGCCUUACAAAUCUGGUGAAUACGCUUUGGGACAGAUUAUAUAUACCAGCUUCGCCCUUUUUAGCACUUACAUACCCAUCUUCGCCUAUAAACCUACCUGAGAUGCCCAGGACACGUAGACGUCAUCAUUCCCACGAUCGUUCAUCCGGUGGUCAUAGAGAGAAGCGUAGGCGUGUCGAUUCGGAAGAGACAUCGCCUGUGCAAGCUGACGCUUC
Long non-coding RNA from Anastrepha obliqua, 1015 nucleotides. RefSeq lists it as uncharacterized. Lineage: Eukaryota; Metazoa; Arthropoda; Insecta; Diptera; Tephritidae. The transcript is spliced from 3 exons. The record is from RefSeq and is a predicted model, not a curated record.